GAGAGAGGGAAGGAGACAGAGAGAGAGGGAAGGAGAGAGAGAGAGAGAGAGAGAGGCCAGUAUAAUAUUGUCUCUUCUCUGAAUCCAAGAUCCUUCGGAGGAGGGAAGGACAAGAAGAAAUAGAGAAAGAUACAGCUCGAGUAAGAGAUAGAUAGAGAGAUAGAGAGAGAGAGAGAGAGAUCUAGGUAGACAGAAAUAAGGAGGGAGGGAAUGUAAAAGAGGACGUUUCUUUCCACAGUGGAGGAAGGGAGUCAUAACGCUGUCCUGCAGACGGAGGGGUAACAGACAGAUCUCCACCUGCCUGCUGCACACUUGCACACAGCGGCAUCCCUGGGAAUUACACGUGUCAACACCCGUACGAGUGCCUGCAGUCCUGGAAGAAGGACCUGCUUGAGCCAUGGGAGCAGUCUCUGGAACAAUCUCCGCUGUCCUGUGUUUCUCUGAGAGGAAAAUGGGGUCAAAUUAGGUUUUGGUGGCCUGAAAAAAUGAUGUAAAGCUUUCUUAAAUUCCACAUGGUGUUAGUUAUGAUAUGACUUUCCUUUAUUCGUCUAUUAAGUCUUAACUGUGAGGCUAAUGCCUUUUUAAUAUCAUUGGCAUUUGGAAUAUGCACAUUUUUUUAUGUUGCAGCACCUAAUAGUGUCAGACACCUUGAUUCAAGAAAAGAGAUUCAGUCAAACCACCCUUAAGCUUAUAAGAUUCUGCCAAAUGCUCAUAUGGUCUGAAAUAUAAGAAACAGGGAAAGGUUUUGCCUGAAUAUCAUGACACAAACAGGGGGGUGGGGCCUUUAUUUAAGGACAAGAAAGAGGCAUUCCAGGCACAGGGAGCCUCUGAUGCAGCAGACAGGUAAUGGCAGGCGAAAAAGGCAGCUGCUGCAGCAAUGGCAGAAGCAAAAACCAGGGCUUGGGAGGAGUUUGGAGAGGCCUUGGAGUAGGGCUUUUGGUCAGCCCCAAAGUAGUUCUGGAAAAGCAUUCGGCAUCUCAGGAGGGGAAAGCGGGACACUGUCCAGGCUAUUAUUCGCAGGAAUGGUGAAACUCUGACCUCAGCUGCGGAUAUUGUCGGAAGGUGCAAGGAACACUUUGAGGAACUCCUGAAUUAUUUUGGGAGGCUGAGCUGGAGCAGUCUGGGGGAUUAGAGUCCAUCUCUAUGGCAGAAGUCACGGGUGGUUGGAGAGCUCCUAAGUGGAAGAGUAUUGGGGUUGGAUGAGAUUUGAUGUUGAUGGCUCUGGAUGUUGUUAGUGUGUCGUAGCUUACACAAAUACACAAUGUCAUGUAGACAUUGGGAAAAGUGCCGUUGAAGUGGCAGACUGGGGUGAGGGUCCCCAUUUUUAGGAAAUUUGUCCCCCAAUUAUCAGGAAAUCUUACUCCUCAGCCCCCCCGAGAAAGUUCGGGAGGAACAAUGCGGGUUUCAUCCAAGCCACGGAACAGCAGACCGAUGUUUAACCCUCUCACAAAUAUUUAGGGGAUAUGGGAGUUUGCCUGUCCAGUCUGCAUGUCUUUUGUGGAUUUGGAGAAGGCAUAUGACUGUGUGCCCCAGGGUAUCUUGUGGGAAGUGCUAAGGGAGUGUGGGAUGCGGGGGUUGCUGUUGUGUGCCAUUCGGUUCCUGUAUACUUGGAGCGAAAGCUGUGUUCGCAUUCUUGGCAUUAAGUCAAGCUCAUUCAAAGUGGGUAUUGGACUCCGCCAAGGGUGUGCUUUGGCUCUCCUCCUGUUCUUGGUAUUCAUGGACAAGAUCUCAAGGCACAGCCAAGGUAUGUGUCCCAUUUUGGGACAUAGGAGCGGCAUCUCUGCUGUUUGGGGAUGACAUCAUUCUCUUGACCUCAUCGUACUGUUCGAUGUACACUAGAGCGGUUUUCAGCUGAGCGUGACAUGGUAGUGACGAGGGUCAGCACCUCUAAGUCUGUGGCCUUUGUCCUUUCCUGGAAAAAGAUGGUUUGUCCCCUUUAAGUAAGGGGGACCAACUGCCCCUGGUGGAGGAGUUCAAGUAUCUUGGGGUUUUAUUCACAAAUUAGGGGAAAAGGGAUUUGGAGAUCAGCUGCCAUCUAGGUGCAGCUGCCGCAGCAACGGUAGCAUUGUAUCAGGUGGUGGUGGUGAAGAAGGAGCUGAGCCAAAAUGCAAGUCGAUCUUCGUCCCUACUCUCACGUAUGCUCACGAUCUGUGGGUAAUGACCAAAAGAGAGAGACUGCAAAAACAAGCGGCCGCAAUGGGGUUUCUCCGUAGGGUGGCAGAGCUUACCCUCCUUGAUAGGGAGAGGAGCUCAGCCGUCUGGGAGGAACUCAAAGUAGAGCCACUGUUCUUCCACAUUGAAAGGAGUCCGUUGAGGUGGUUUGGGCAUCUGAUAAGGAUGCCUCCUGGGCACCUCCCUCUGGAGGUGUUCUGGCCACAGCCACCAGGGAGGUGGCCACCAGACCUAGGACACACUGGAGGGAUUAUAUGCACCAGCUGGCCUGGGAUUGCCUUGGGAUUGACCGGGAUGAGUUGGUGGAAGUUGCUGGGAAAAGGGACGUCUCAGCUGCUCUGCUUGUCCUUUUUCCACUGCGACCCUGAUUUGGACUAAGUUGUUAGAAAAUGGAUGGAUGGAUGUUUUUGUUAUGUGUGUUUUAUCUUUCCAGUUUGUUUGUCCAUCUCCGGUUACUCGGCUUGAAAAAGCCGCCAUGUGCCUCCUACCAGGGGAGACUAGCUCUUCGAACUUGUGCUUAGUGUAUUGUGUAUAGUGAUUGCUUCAUUUGACUUUGUGUAUUUGACCCUAUUUUUGUCUGCUGAUUAGAUCUUGUGUAUGACCACUGACUUUUCUUCCACUCAAAUUAUUGCCUUUGCCCUUCUAGUUUUUUGCCCCAUGAUUUUGUGUUUCUGAAUAUUUGCUCUCGUAUUGGAUUCUCGCCCAGGCCAUCUUCUUUGUUUGCUGAUUUGAUUUAGUGUUUGACUGUAUGCUUAUGGAAGUAAAUCUGUCUCACCAGAUUUUGAAAUUUGAAAGCCUUUGAAUUUCUAGCACUGAAUUUUUUUGCAUUGAAAUUAUGUAUCAAUGAAUUUUUUGCCUCUGAAUUCAACUCUAUUCAAAUUAUCAGUAACUCAUUUUCACUUUUAUAUUUCCAUGUUCACAAAUUAAUAAUCAAAAAUUCAAAUGUUAAAAAAUUCAAAUAAUAUAUAUUCAAGUUGCUCAAGUGUAAUGUACAUAUGUAUAAUAUAUACAUGUAAUAAACAGUAAGGGUAGAUAUGAAUGUGCUAAGAUAUAUACAGUAUGAACAGUAUGAACAGAGUGGUAUGAAUACGCUGAGAUAUAUACAGUGUGAACACUAGUAUGGACAGUAGGAAAUGUGAAUGCUAAGAAAUGCAGGCAGCUCGAGGUAUGAUAAGAAUACGAUGUACACUCUAUAGAUCAGAUAUAAACACUAUAGACAGUAGUAUAAAUAUGAAUAUGGCCAGCAGCCAUACCACCACGCACUCUGCUCCUGCUGACUGCCUGAAGCUAAACAGGUGUGGGCUUGGUUAGUACUUGGAUGGGAGACCACCAGGGAAUACUGAGUUGCUGCUGGAAGUGGUGUUGGUGGGCCAGCAGGGGGCAAUCUUCCCUCUGGUCAAAAAAACCCCAAUGCCCCAGUGCAGUGACGGGGACACUGUGCCGUAGGAGAUGUCGUCUUUCGGAUGAGACGUUAAACCGAGGUCCUGACUCACUGUGGUCAUUAAAGAUCCCAAGACACUCAGGGAUUAAAGUUCUCCGGAACAUUGGUCACUGACCUCACAAAUAGUCUCCUGGAUGAAUGGAAGCAAAUCCCUGCAGCAAUGUUCCCUUUUUGUGGCACAAUUUUCAGGCCACACCUUUUUCCUUUUUCUUAUAUUGUAUACCAUAUGAGCACUUGGCAAAAUCUUAUAAGCUUAAGGGUGGUUUGACUGAAUUUAUUUGAUUAAAUCAACAAGACCAACUUGACACUAUAAACUUGAGAUAAA
This is a long non-coding RNA of Anguilla rostrata (American eel), 3938 nucleotides long. RefSeq lists it as uncharacterized. NCBI's taxonomy places the organism in Eukaryota, Metazoa, Chordata, Actinopteri, Anguilliformes, Anguillidae. The record is from RefSeq and is a predicted model, not a curated record. The transcript has 3 exons.